UACGGAGGGUGCAAGCGUUAUCCGGAUUCACUGGGUUUAAAGGGUGCGUAGGCGGGCAGGUAAGUCAGUGGUGAAAUCCCCGAGCUUAACUUGGGAACUGCCGUUGAUACUAUCUGUCUUGAAUACUGUGGAGGUAAGCGGAAUAUGUCAUGUAGCGGUGAAAUGCUUAGAUAUGACAUAGAACACCUAUUGCGAAGGCAGCUUGCUACACAGUCAUUGACGCUGAGGCACGAAAGCGUGGGGAUCAAAUAGG
This 253-nucleotide ribosomal RNA is filed under the name uncultured bacterium. Its description in RNAcentral is "partial 16S ribosomal RNA". It matches the Rfam family "Bacterial small subunit ribosomal RNA", at positions 524 to 776 of the family's 1533-position model. The record is from RNAcentral.